UGAUCCUGGCUCAGGAUGAACGCUAGCGGCAGGCUUAACACAUGCAAGUCGAGGGGUAACAUUGUAGCUUGCUACAGAUGACGACCGGCGCACGGGUGCGUAACGCGUAUAGAACUUACCUUUUACAGAGGGAUAGCCUUUAGAAAUGAAGAUUAAUACCUCAUAGUAUUAUUGAUUGGCAUCAAUUAAUAAUUAAAGAUUUAUCGGUAAAAGAUGGCUAUGCGUCCUAUUAGCUAGAUGGUAAGGUAAUGGCUUACCAUGGCUACGAUAGGUAGGGGCCCUGAGAGGGGGAUCCCCCACACUGGUACUGAGACACGGACCAGACUCCUACGGGAGGCAGCAGUGAGGAAUAUUGGGCAAUGGAGGUAACUCUGACCCAGCCAUGCCGCGUGCAGGAAGACUGCCCUAUGGGUUGUAGACUGCUUUUAUACAGGAAGAAACACUCGUACGUGUACGAGCUUGACGGUACUGUAAGAAUAAGGACCGGCUAACUCCGUGCCAGCAGCCGCGGUAAUACGGAGGGUCCGAGCGUUAUCCGGAAUCAUUGGGUUUAAAGGGUCCGCAGGCGGUCAAUUAAGUCAGAGGUGAAAUCCCAUAGCUUAACUAUGGAACUGCCUUUGAUACUGGUUGACUUGAGUCAUAUGGAAGUAGAUAGAAUGUGUAGUGUAGCGGUGAAAUGCAUAGAUAUUACACAGAAUACCGAUUGCGAAGGCAGUCUACUACGUAUGUACUGACGCUCAUGGACGAAAGCGUGGGGAGCGAACAGGAUUAGAUACCCUGGUAGU
Molecule: ribosomal RNA, 785 nt
Filed under: uncultured marine bacterium
Lineage: Bacteria
Description: bacterial SSU rRNA
Rfam family: Bacterial small subunit ribosomal RNA
Source: RNAcentral